AUGCCUCUUUUCCUAUCUGUGGUCCACACUCCAGUCCAGUUGGUGGCGGUAAUCCCCCGCCAAAUAAACUCAACAGAAGAAGAAUCCUUUUUUCGAAGACGUUGUUUCGUUCUUUGUGUCUUUCAAAAACGAUAUUUCGGUUAACAAGAACUACCGCGAACAGAUUCAGAUAAUAAAACAACCAUUUAACCCUUACCAGGACAAAAGGUGUUGUAUAAGCAGCAAUUUAUUUGGACUGCAUCAAGUAACGGGAGGUGCGCUGUCCUUGUUCGCCUCGAGGGAAGCAGGGAAUCGGACAGGAUAUUUGGUAGUCGACUCACGUUGCAGAUUGAAGAUGAACCCAGCUCUCCUUCCACACUGAACCUAAACAAGAGUCACUGGAUUCUGGUUGUGACAGUAAAGCUCAGUGUUCAUUGGUGGAUUCAGAGGUGACAUCAGCGUAGCUGGAAGACUGCAGUCAAAUACUGGGACUGAAUGAUAUUAGAUGUGAAGAGGAGGAGAUUGGGGAUUUACAAAGAUCAGACUGCCUACAUCUGGAGAGCAACAACGGGAAGAUUACAGAUAAGAAGUCUUACCCCUGCCCCCGUUCUGGAAAACGUUUCCUAUAUACACCAAUCAGUCAUAACAUUAUGACCUCUGACAGGUGAAGUGAAUAACACUGAUAAUCUCCUUAUCAUGG
This is a long non-coding RNA of Esox lucius (northern pike), 679 nucleotides long. RefSeq lists it as uncharacterized. The transcript is spliced from 3 exons. Lineage: Eukaryota; Metazoa; Chordata; Actinopteri; Esociformes; Esocidae. The record is from RefSeq and is a predicted model, not a curated record.